RNAcentral lists this ribosomal RNA (255 nucleotides) under uncultured bacterium. RNAcentral describes it as "partial 16S ribosomal RNA". It matches the Rfam family "Bacterial small subunit ribosomal RNA", at positions 29 to 313 of the family's 1533-position model. The record is from RNAcentral.
AGCGAACGCUGGCGGCAGGCCUAACACAUGCAAGUCGAGCGCCCAGCAAUGGGAGCGGCAGACGGGAUAGUAACACGUGGGAACGUACCCUUCAGUUCGGAACAACCCAGGGAAACUUGGGCUAAUACCGAAUACGUCCGUAAGGAGAAAGAUUUAUCGCUGAAGGAUCGGCCCGCGUCUGAUUAGCUAGUUGGUGAGGUAACGGCUCACCAAGGCGACGAUCAGUAGCUGGUCNGAGAGGAUGAUCAGCAUCAC